Perca fluviatilis (European perch) is the source of this 1215-nucleotide RNA transcript. It is a transcript of the gene named reticulocalbin 3, EF-hand calcium binding domain, with no coding region annotated. The transcript is spliced from 9 exons. NCBI's taxonomy places the organism in Eukaryota, Metazoa, Chordata, Actinopteri, Perciformes, Percidae. The record is from RefSeq and is a predicted model, not a curated record.
AACGCGGACUGCUCUGCUGUUCUCACACUGGCGAGGGAGGGAGGAGAAACUGUCCACCAUGCUGCUGAAGUCCAUAGUGUCCCUGUGCGUCCUGGUUGCGGCUGCCUUGGCUGUCCCCGCCCAGGAGAAGCGUGUCCAUCACCAUGGUGAUCUGAGCGAGCGUCCCCAUGACGACGCUCACGGCUUCCAGUACGACCACGAGGCCUUCCUCGGGAAGGAGGAGGCCAAGACCUUCGACCAGCUGACCCCCGACGAGAGCAAGGACAAGCUAGCGAAGAUCGUUGAGCUCAUCGACAAGGACCGGGACGGCUACGUCAGCCACGCAGAGCUGCACUCGUGGAUCAGACACCGGCAGCGGCGGUACAUCCAGGAGAACGUGGACAAACACUGGAAGGACUACGACAAAGACCAGGACGGGAAGAUAGCCUGGGACGAGUACAAAAACACCACCUACGGCUACUAUCUGGGCGAAGAGUUCGAUGACGUCGACGACAAGGCGACCUAUAAGUCCAUGCUGACGCGGGACGAGAGACGCUUCAGGACGGCGGACCGAGACGGCGACAGGAUCGCCACGCGCGAGGAGUUCACUGCCUUCCUUCACCCGGAGGAGUAUGACUACAUGAGAGACGUGGUGGUACAGGAAACUGUGGAAGACAUCGAUAAGAACGGCGAUGGCAAGAUCAACAUAGAUGAAUACAUCGGCGACAUGUUCACCCCCGAGGAUGGAGAGAGCGAGCCUGACUGGGUCCACACAGAGAGGAAACAUUUCUCCGAGUUCAGAGAUACCAACAAGGACGGUUACCUGGAUGCAGCCGAGGUGGCCAACUGGGUUCUGCCUGGAGAGGUGGACCAUGCUGACAACGAAGCCAAACACUUGAUCCACGAGACAGACACCAACAAGCCCAGACAGAAAUCCAGCCUCGCCCCAACACUGCUUCCUACUCAUCUUCUAAAGCCGUGCCGGGCUCGGGCCAGUUUACAGACAACACAUCACCGGCCCAAACCCCAAAAUAAGAAAUGAAUGGCCGAAGGAAAAGCUGAUAAAGGCCAGCUGGACACUACCCGGUCUGGACUGAGGAAGCAGUGAAGGCAACACACUGGGCAAUAUCAAACGGACGGCCGGCUGACUCUCUCGGAGCUGCUCCACAACAUCGACUCCAUCAUGUCCAGCACCAUCACCGACUACGGUGGCAUGAGCGUCGACGAGCACGACGA